Molecule: ribosomal RNA, 672 nt
Filed under: bacterium V03
Lineage: Bacteria
Description: bacterial SSU rRNA
Rfam family: Bacterial small subunit ribosomal RNA
Source: RNAcentral
GNCUANANANGCAGUCGAGCGGUAGAGAGAAGCUUGCUUCUCUUGAGAGCGGCGGACGGGUGAGUAAUGCCUAGGAAUCUGCCUGGUAGUGGGGGAUAACGCUCGGAAACGGACGCUAAUACCGCAUACGUCCUACGGGAGAAAGCAGGGGACCUUCGGGCCUUGCGCUAUCAGAUGAGCCUAGGUCGGAUUAGCUAGUUGGUGAGGUAAUGGCUCACCAAGGCGACGAUCCGUAACUGGUCUGAGAGGAUGAUCAGUCACACUGGAACUGAGACACGGUCCAGACUCCUACGGGAGGCAGCAGUGGGGAAUAUUGGACAAUGGGCGAAAGCCUGAUCCAGCCAUGCCGCGUGUGUGAAGAAGGUCUUCGGAUUGUAAAGCACUUUAAGUUGGGAGGAAGGGCAGUAACCUAAUACGUUAUUGUUUUGACGUUACCGACAGAAUAAGCACCGGCUAACUCUGUGCCAGCAGCCGCGGUAAUACAGAGGGUGCAAGCGUUAAUCGGAAUUACUGGGCGUAAAGCGCGCGUAGGUGGUUUGUUAAGUUGAAUGUGAAAUCCCCGGGCUCAASCUGGGAACUGCAUCCAAAACUGGCAAGCUAGAGUAGGGCAGAGGGUGGUGGAAUUUCCUGUGUNGCSGUGAANUGCNUANANNUAGNAAGGAACACCAGUGG